RNAcentral lists this ribosomal RNA (497 nucleotides) under uncultured bacterium. RNAcentral's name for it is "partial 16S ribosomal RNA". It matches the Rfam family "Bacterial small subunit ribosomal RNA", at positions 28 to 507 of the family's 1533-position model. The record is from RNAcentral.
GAUGAACGCUGGCGGCGUGCCUAAUACAUGCAAGUCGAGCGAACAGACGAGGAGCUUGCUCCUCUGACGUUAGCGGCGGACGGGUGAGUAACACGUGGAUAACCUACCUAUAAGACUGGGAUAACUUCGGGAAACCGGAGCUAAUACCGGAUAAUAUAUUGAACCGCAUGGUUCAAUAGUGAAAGACGGUUUUGCUGUCACUUAUAGAUGGACCCGCGCCGCAUUAGCUAGUUGGUAAGGUAACGGCUUACCAAGGCGACGAUGCGUAGCCGACCUGAGAAGGUGAUCGGCCACACUGGAACUGAGACACGGUCCAGACUCCUACGGGAGGCAGCAGUAGGGAAUCUUCCGCAAUGGGCGAAAGCCUGACGGAGCAACGCCGCGUGAGUGAUGAAGGUCUUCGGAUCGUAAAACUCUGUUAUUAGGGAAGAACAAAUGUGUAAGUAACUAUGCACGUCUUGACGGUACCUAAUCAGAAAGCCACGGCUAACUACGUG